UACGGAGGGUGCAAGCGUUAUCCGGAUUCACUGGGUUUAAAGGGUGCGUAGGAGGGCAGGUAAGUCAGUGGUGAAAUCCCCGAGCUUAACUUGGGAACUGCCGUUGAUACUAUCUGUCUUGAAUAUUGUGGAGGUAAGCGGAAUAUGUCAUGUAGCGGUGAAAUGCUUAGAUAUGACAUAGAACACCGAUAGCGAAGGCAGCUUGCUACACAAUUAUUGACGCUGAGGCUCGAAAGCGUGGGGAUCAAACAGG
RNAcentral lists this ribosomal RNA (253 nucleotides) under uncultured bacterium. RNAcentral describes it as "partial 16S ribosomal RNA". It matches the Rfam family "Bacterial small subunit ribosomal RNA", at positions 524 to 776 of the family's 1533-position model. The record is from RNAcentral.